UAUUGGUAAAUUUGUAAUUGACGGUUGAGUUGAGGUGCUAGUAACAGAAAUAUAUAUUUAUUCUUUGUUUAUUUACAAUGUAUAAUGACAAUAAAAUUAAAUUAAUUCUAUAUAAAGCCCAAGAAAAUGCCUCCUGCCAUCAGAGAUAUUUAAAAAGUCUAGAGGCCUAUUAUAAUCAGGUUCCAUUUGAAGCAUUUGUGGAGGAAUUCUUAAAACUUUUGAAACAUAUUUUUCACAAGUAUAUUACAACACGAAAUCCAUAUGUCGAAAGAACCCUGGAAUUUUUGGCACAAUUUGUAUCUUUCGUGACAAAAUCUAAUGAAAAUGAUACUACUUCACAAGAUGAAGAUUCCUCAUCACAUCCUUUUUUAACAGAAGUUAUAGUUGAAACUUUAAAAUUUCAUGAUUUGAUAUAUGAACAAGCACGUUAUUACUCUUGUCGGUUUGUAACUUUAAUUCUUCAGCAUGUUGGUAAUGAAAUACAUCUGGAUAACUUUAUGUGUGAUGCUAUCCAAGAAGCAAUGUUACAGCGUAUCAUGGAUCCAAAAAUAUCAAUUCGUCUUCAAGCUGUAAUGGCUUUAGUAAGAUUACAAGAACCCUCAAAUACAGAAUGCCCUGUUGUAAAAGCGUACAUCUCUUUAUUGGUAGAGGCAAAUCCAUUGAUCAGAAAAGAAGUUGUAAAAAGAAUAGCUCCGAAUUCUGUAACUAUAUCAAAAAUAAGUGAACGCAUUCGAGAUGUUGACGGUCAUGUACGUGUGGCCGCAUACUCGCGUUGUGCGGAUAUUGGCCCACGGUUAUUUAAAAUUAUUACAAGACAACAGAUUUUACAGUGUGGAUUUAAUGAUGACAGUGAACAAGUUAGAACAGUUUUUUUAGAAAAAUUAUUUCCAAAAUGGCUUAGCGCCUAUAAUGAUAAUUUCCUUGAAUUUCUUAGGAGCUUAAAACUUGAUGCAGACGAAAAUGAUAUUAUAAAUACUCAGAAAAUUAGUGAAAAGGUCAUGGAAGUUUUUUUUAGCAUUUCUACUAUUAAAAACAUAAUUGACGUGUUGCCUAUACAUAAUGAGAAGUUAGUACCACUGAACAAUUUGACUAGUGAGGUUGUGGCAUAUUGGUGUAUUGUUACGAGAUUUUUAAGAAAUUGUCCCGAAACAGAGGAUUAUCUGGAUAGUAUCCUACCUGAGUUAACUCCAUUUUGUUGCUAUAUAGAAAGAAUUAUUAAUUUCAAGACAUCCAGGACAUUGGAAGAAUGGGAAUACAUGGAGUAUCAGUAUAUUUUAUAUAAUUUGUUGGAUAUAGCCGAACAUUAUGACUUUUCAGACGAGAUUGGCAGAAAAACUUUAUACAAACUUAUUACGACUAUUUUGCAAAAUCACAAGUUACUGUUCAAAGUGGCAAAGAAAAUUGUUGGUAUAUUAGAUAAAUUAAUUUCUAAUGUGGAUAGGCUUACCCAUGAAAUAUGCCAAAUUAUAUCUGACAUUAGAGAACCACUCGUAGAUAAACCGACAACUCGCUGUGGAAAUACAAAUAGAGAGUUUCAGGUGGCAGAAUUGAAAGUGAAAAUAAAUAUUUUACAAGGAGAAAUAGAGGAUGCUUUAAAUAUCCAAGACUUCCAAAAGGCGGCCGUUAUUCAAAGCGAAAUUGUGGAAUAUAGGGGGAAAUUGGAUGACAUCCAAAAAGAGAGUCAAAUUGUCAAAGUAAAAAUUUCAAAAGAUGAUCCAGAAACCAUUUCUCGGUGCUUAGACUUGCUUAGUGCUUUAAUGGAACUGUCAAGUGUAAAAAUGUUAUCUCCAUCUUUGGCCACAUGUAGGACUGAAUUUCUAUUACCUUUACUGUCUAGUAAUAAUGUUGAAAUUAAUUGGAGAGUUUUGAAAUGUAUCGCCUUGUAUUGUAUACUCGACAAAAAUAUAGCAGCGGAACAUGCUAGAGUGCUGUGUAUUCCGAUUAUUACAUAUCGAGCAAUACCAAAUUAUAACAAAUUUGCUUUGAUGCAAUCAGUGGCUACUAUUUGCGAUCUGGUGCGUAUUUAUGGGCCUGAACUAUUUGGUAGUGAGAAAGAUACCAACAGUUCGUCAUCAACAUUACAUAAUGCAACGAAAAGGAGGCUGUAUAGAAAUGAAACUGUGGAUGAUGUAAAUGUCAUGGAUAACGACAGAUUGAAUGUGGACGUUAUUAUUGAAAUCAUAUUGGACAUGCUAGAUGACGAGAAUGCAGAUAUUCGAGAAAUUGCUGUAACUGCUCUUUCUAAGUUAAUCCUUAAUGAAUUUCCUGUUAAUUCAUCCUUAAUUUGUAGAAUUAUAUUAAAAUGGUUCAAUCCAUUAGAGAAAUCUGUUGACAAAAGUCAACAGAAGCUGGGAUUUCUUAUAAGCAAUUUUACCAAAUUGAUAAAAGGUGCUAGAGAAGUUAUUGAAAAAGCAGUAGUGCCAAUUAUAUCGAGUAUAGCAAAUGCUCCAAGGACAAGUCCCCUUGCAGAUGUAGAAAUAGAUAAUGUUAUACAAUUCCUUUCGGCACUAACUAAUUCUAAUGGCACAACGGAGGUAGUCCACAUUCACACCGACCUAGCUAACCUGCUUUGCUACAAUAUCGCAAAUAAACCUAAAGAUCUCACUGUACCAUAUUUAACAAAAAUAUUGUUACAUCUGGAAAUACCACCUGAGAAGACAGUUGCAAUUAGAGAAUUAUUGACACAAGUUGAGCUGCUUCUAGAAGACAAGGAGGAUGAUAUAGAUAAAGGACCCAAAAAAAAUUUAAAGAAAUUUGCUGAAAAGUUGAGAGCUGCACUAAAAUACCAAACUGGCAAGAACCCAACUGAAAACGAAGUCGAACAGCAGAAUAAUUUACUGGCACAAAAUAAAAGUUUUCAGAAUACAAAUGAGAAGACACAGGAAACACAGCAAGUGAAUGUUCAUAUAUUAAAUAAAAGUCGAGAAAAUAGUGCAAAAAAUACAUCAGCAGCAAUAAGCAGAAAUGAUGAUAAAACAUUUGUUGAUAGUACUUGCAGUAUAGAAGGUGGAAAAUCUGAAAGACUUUUCUCUUCUCGGUUAAAAACCAUAGAAAGGCGAAAGGCAAAAGAUGGUAAAAACAGGAUAAAUAAAAAAAAUGUACAAAAUGAUGCAUAUCCUAACAAAGAUGUUACAAAAAAAAUAGAUAAAUUAAGUAACACUGCAUUUAAUCAGGAAAGCAAUAAUAAAUCUAGAAAUAAUCUAGAGAUUCUGAGAAAAGAAACUAAUACUAAUAAAAAUGAAAACGGAGGGUUUCAAAGUGUAAAACACACUAACAAGAAAAGGGGGGAUGUUAAAAAUUGUGAACCUAAAAGCAAAAAGGGUGUAACAGAUGUAGAGAGUGAUUCAGCAGUAACAGACAAUGAAGCAGAUGGUCGAAAAAUACUCAGAAGAUCCAAGAGGCAAAAAACAUAUUUGAAAUCGACCGAUUCAAAAAAACAAAAAGUAUCAGAAGUAAAUAGAACUCAAAAUUUAACAGUAGACAGUGAUCAAGAUAAAGUAUCAAAUACAAAUUCCAACAAUUUAGGAAGUACUGCAUGCACGUUAUUGAGAAAUAAUUUUCCUGACAAGAGUUUAGUAGAGGGUGUUCAUGGAGUGAAGAGAAAGAAAUUGAGAAGGAGAAAGGGACAAAAUUCUCUUGAAUCAGAAGAAAAGAAGUUACAGAAUUCAAUAGCAUCGGAAGAAACCAUCUUGUACACAAUUAUGGAUAAUAGUAAACAAGCAAGUGAAUUAACAAAUGAAACUUCUGAGAGCAAAUCAUCGGAAUAUUCAAGUUACAGUAUUGACCGUACUCAAAGAAAUAACAUUAUUUCCGAAACAUCUUCUGAAUCAGAAUUUCCUCAAGUACUACAGCAGAUGCCUCGAGAAAAAUUUAUUUAGUACCUAGACGGAUUACGAACAAAUCUCCGGGAUGAUGCUCUAAUGUGACAAUAGCAAUGACAAUCGUGAAGCUACUGAAAAAUCUAAGGACAUUGUACCGUGGCGGAAAUCAAGGUCCAUACUGUACUGGAGACUGAGGAGGCAUCUGCUUGAGGACAGGGUAAUCAAGGGCCUCAUGGAUGCCCAACCCGAGUUGGCGCUGGGCCAGGGCGAGGCCAUGCUUAGGAGGUGGUUCAUCGAGGACAAGGGCGCCGCAGAGGUAACCAAAUCUGUGUUGUACAAUAAUUUUUUUUUUCUUUCCAACAUUCUUUGAGAUAAAUCUAUCGGGGAGUUAUCGAAAAUACGGUGCGGUUCGGACUGGGUGAUUUUUGCUCUAUUAGAGAUCUUUGAAAAGGUCUGGCGUAUAUUUUGUUAGUUUUAAGAAAACCAAAUUUUCCAAUUUUCUGUUAUA
RNA transcript from Anoplophora glabripennis (Asian longhorned beetle), 4329 nucleotides. It is a transcript of the gene named condensin complex subunit 3, with no coding region annotated. The record is from RefSeq and is a predicted model, not a curated record. NCBI's taxonomy places the organism in Eukaryota, Metazoa, Arthropoda, Insecta, Coleoptera, Cerambycidae. The transcript is spliced from 18 exons.